AAAAGAAUAAAUAAAGUUUUUCUUCACUAAGCUUUAUUGGUUUUUGUUUUGUUUUGUUUUGUUUUUUGCUUCACAGAUCUUGUUAAAGCAUUUUUCCAAACCUAUUAAAUUAAAAUCUGGAAUAGAUCUGUUCUCUAAUUUCUUCAGCAACUUUGUUUUAUGAAGCACCCAUUUAUGCCCAUUUAUAUCUUAGACUGGAAAUUGGCAAUCUGCAGCACAUGUGGCAAACCCAACCCAUGGCCUUUUGAUUUUUUUUUUUUUUUUAAUGUUUCUGGAGGUAAGAAUGGGUUUUACAGUUUAAGAAUAUAGUGAAAGGAAGACACCAAGGGGCACCUGGAUGGCUCAGUGGGUUAAAAGAAGACACCAAGAUUGUAGAGAUUGUAUGUGGCCUGCAAAAACUAACAGUGGUUAUGAUAUGUCCCUUUAUAGGACAAAUUUAAUAUAUAAUAUAUAAUGUACAUACAGCUUUUUAAUGGUUUACAGUUCAUCUGAAUUAGAAAAAUGUUUUGCUGUAAUCUCUUUGCAUAAUCCUGCAUGUAUUGUAGGAAUUUAUGGAAUUUGUCAGUUUUUAUUUUGAUAUGAUCUUUUAUUGAUCAGGGCCAAAUGUGUAUGCGUGACACUGCAGACUUUCAUUAAAUGAGCUUGGCUUUUUGAGAGACAAAGAAUGUGCGUGGUGAAGUAGUGAACCAGCACACUUAGGCUUACUUCCUUGGGAGGGUGUGGACAUUUUUGUGAUAUUGCUUUAGGGGUGGUGAUGAGUUUGAACAUUGUCAUUUCUCCAUUGGUGUAGGGUUUUUCUUUGAUACCAUUGUCUGCUGCAUAGAGAGUUAUUUCCUUGAAGCUGUAUUUUGAUAUUAAUUUGGGUUAUGUAUGGUUGGUUUGGAUGAGAGUUUUAAUACCCAUAGCUUCUGGCAAAAAUCCCCUGGUUGCCUGGUUAUAAUGCUUUGUCGUUUAUCAUAUUUUAUUGACUGUAAAGCGUACUUUUUCUUUUUCUUUUUCUUUUUCACCUUAAUGUCUUUGAAAUCAGGAUGCAUCUUAAAUUUUAUGACAUAAUUAGGAUUGGCAGAGUUUUUUCCUCUAGUGCUACAUGAAAUAAUGGUGCAUCUUAAAAUCAGUAAGGUAUGGCUUGUACAUUCUACUCAUUUAUAAUAUCCAUUAGGUGCUUCGUUUUCUUAUUCCUUGUGUUAAUUCCACCCCUUUUUAUUUUGCUAUGAGAGGCAGAAUUUCUGGUUUUGGAAAUUUUUCAUGAUUUAAGGGUUUGCCUUGAGGGUUAUUUUAAUUCUGAGAUUGGUUAUUGAUUUAGAUUGUAAACACCAUCAACCAUAUCUAGUCAACAGAACAACUUGGGAAAAUGAACACUUAACAUAGUGUUUUGAGUAGCACAGUAUCCUGAUCUGUUACUGUUAGUUUAUUUAACAGAUGGCCUGUAGCCUGGUCUUUAAUAUUAGUUACUAUUUUGUUGAAUAGACUGUAGAAGAACAUUAACUAGAAAACCUGUUUAACUUCAGGCCUAGCUGAGAUUUUCUUGAAUGCUUGCAACUGGGAACACCCUAUGGAUUUAUAGUAAUAUCCUGUUCUUGGAAAAUAAUGAGAAAUUACAUAGUAAUUGUUUUAAGACCUUUACUGUCUCCCAAGGUGAACCACUUUGUAUUACAGAGACAGUAAGUUUUUAGAAACCUAUUUCAAUGGAAAAUCACAAGUCAGUAAUUUCAAAAAAGGCAAGCCAAAUAAAAGUAGAAAAAGGAUCAGAAUUAAUGCCAACUUUAAAUAUACACACAUAAGUUUUUUAUUUAAGUUAGUGAUUCCAAGCCCUUUUUGCACCUGGGGUGAUUUUUAAAUUCUCAGUACCCAGAUGUCUCUGGCAAAUUAAAUCAGAAUGUCUCGGAGUGGUUGCUGGCAUUGAAUUUUUUUAGUUAUUAUAUUACAAAAGCAGCUGGCAUUGAAUUUUUUUCACUCUAUUAUUAUUGUAUUACAAAAGCAAUAUUUUUACAGAUUUUACCCAUGUAUUUAGCCCUGUCUUUGCUCCUCAUGCCUUCUUGAAUCUCUGAUCUUCCAUCUGGGACCACUUUCCUUCUGCCUACAAUACAUUUUGUAGAAUUUCCUUUAGUGAGGGUCUUCUAGUGGCCAGCUGUCAGGUUUUGUUUGUCUGGAAAGAUCUUUAUUCUACCCUGUUCUUAAAAGAUAUUUUUGUUGGUCUAGGUAUCAAUUAUCUAUUUCUGGGUAACAGGCCAUCCCAAAUUCAGUGACUCAAAAACAACAGCUGCUUUCCCAUGUAUCUGUAGGUUAGCAAGUUGGGCAGAGCUUAGUGGGAUGGCUUGUCUCUAGUCUACAUGGUUUCAGCUCAGCUCAUUCAUAUCUCUGUAGUCACUUGUCAGGUCACCUGGGGGCUGGACAGUCAUAUGUCUGGAGGUCUGGUAUAGAAAGGCAAGUUUCAAUGCACAAGCAGUUUUCAAGCCUUUGUUCAUAUUUGCUGAUGUCUAGUGGCCAAGCCCAGGUUCCAGAGUGGAGGAAUUAGACUCCAUCUCUUGAUGGGAGGAGUGACAGUGUCACAUUUAAAGGGCUGUGGGGUGUACAUAAAGAAAUGGGGGAGAAUUAUGGCCUUUAAAAAAAAAUCUGUCACAGAUAGAAUUUUAGGUUGGAAUUUUUUGGGGGGGGGUAUUUUUUCUUUUAGCCCAUUUUCUUCUUGCCACUGUAUUUUGGCUUUCCCUGUUGCUGUUGAGCAGUCAGUUCCUAUGGCUUCUUUUCAGACUUUCUUUGUGUUCUCUCAUUCACUGUGAUUUGUCUAGGUGUGAAUUUCCCUUUAUUUGUCCAGUUUUGGCUUUGUUGAGUUUCUUUUGAUUUAGUGUCUUUCAUUCAUUCUGGAAAAUUCUUAGCCAUUAUCUGCCUCUGCCCCACUCUCUUCUUCUUCUUAGAACUUCAAUUAAGUUAGGUUUCUUGCUGUUUUCCCAUAUUUAUUUUUAUUUCUGUGAACGUUUUAUUAUACACAGAAUGGGGAGAGGGCUCAGUCCUUGGCAGCUGGUUUCCUUUAGGCAGCCAGAACUUUGCUCAGCUCCUGUUGCUUCCUCUUGGCAUGGAUCUGUGUCCCCACUCUAUUCUUGAUGAUCUUGAGGGCAUACUUGUCCUUGGAGACUGUGAGCAGCUCCAGGGUGAUCUGCUUGUAUGAGGUGAAGCCACAUAACACUCUGAUCAUGUCCCUUGGGAAUUCGGUGUGCGUGGUGGGGUGUCCAGAGUGGUGGCUGUGCCUCAGCUUGCUCCUGUGGCCCUUGUUGAAGCCCCGGCCAUGGGGUAUCACAGAACCGUGGCUGCUGUGGUAUAGGCUCCACAUUUAUUAAUGUUUCUUCAUGCUGCAUUCUGAAUAAUUUCUUUUGACUUAUCUUCCACUUUACUAAUUUGCUCUUCUGUUAUGUCCAGAUGCUUAACUCUUUCUGCUCCCGCUCCCCAAGAUUAUUUAUUUGUUUGACAGAGAGAGAGAGAGAGAGAGAAGGAGCACACAGGCAGAGCGGCACGCAGACAGGGAAGGAGAAGCAAGCUGUCUGUUGAGCAGAGAGCCUGACCUGGGGCUCGAUCCCAGGACCCUGGGAUCAUGACCUAAGCUGAAGGCAGGCACUUAACUGACUGAGCCAACCAGGCACCCCAUUUUUUUUUUAAAAUAUUUUAUUUAUUUGAGAGAGAGAGCGAGAGCAGGAGCUGUGGGGGGUGGGGCAGAGGUAGAGGGAUAAGCAGACUCCCCACUGAGCGGGGAGCCCCUGGUGGGGGCUUGAUCCCAGGACCCUGAGAUCAUGACUGGAGCUAUUAGUUGCUUUUAAGAAGAUUUUAAAAUCUUUUAACAUUUUUAAUUGAUUAUAAUUUCAGGAUCAUUCCAAAUAAUCUAACCUACCAUUAUAAGAAUUGGAUUACCACAUCUGUUGUUGUCUUUUUAAGCUUCCCUAUUAGUUUACCUGUACACUAGGUUUAGGAUACUAUUGAUUAAGCAAAUAGAAGAUACAUGGAGAACUAUAAGAAUUAAAUAGGUAGGAGUCACAUUUUAAGAGGGAGAGACCCCCAGAAAACUUGAUUUUCUUCAGUUAGUAAAAGGAUGAAACAAUAUUUUUGUUAUCUUUAGGGCUUUUGAGUUGGUCAGAUAUUUUUGUAGUUAUGUUUACCAAUAUGGAAAAUUGAAGUUUGGUUUGAAAAGAAAAUGAUUACCAAAACCCUUAUUGAUGGUGCUGUAGUGCCUGGAUGACAGAAGAUCAUCCAUACUUGUGAUUUGUGACGUGCCUAGUGAAAAAUAUAGGAUUCAACUUUUUUUUUUUUAAGAUUUGUUUGACAGAAAAGAGAAUGCACAUGUGCAAGUGCACAUGGAGUAGAGAAUGGCAAAGGGAGAGGGAGAGAGAAUCUUAAGCAGACUCCACACUGAGCACAAAGUCCCCAUGGGGCUCAGAUUCAAGACCCUGAGAUUAUGCCCUGAGCCGAAACCCAAGAGUCCGAUGCCUAACCAACUGUGCCACCCAGGUCCCCCUAAGCUUCAAGUCUUAUAUCAACCUUAUUUUGAAGAAAGCUUAAUCGAGUGAUUUAUAUUCAUUUUAGAGUUCAGGUUUGGGUGUUUUGUUUACAGUGAGCCAUUUUCCUAAGCUACCUUAUAUGCAGCCAAGCAAAUAUAAUUUGACAUUCUCCAGUCUAAAUCUACAGGUGAGAUGUAAAAGGAUGUCAUCUGAUUAUUUUGUGUCAUACAGAUUUUUUCCCUUCCACUAAAAACAAAUGUAUCUUUUGUACCCAAUUAUUUUCUGUUACAUUUACGGCUAUGCUAUAGCUAGGGAGAUGACUUAACAGCACUUAACAGGUAGCUUUGCUUGCUACUCCACUUCAAGAACAUGGUGUAUUAUGUUGCUGUUGACUAUACAAACUAGAAAUUAAGGUAUUUAAGUAUUUUAGGAAGAAGAGAUGUUUCAGUGACUUAGAGUAGGCUCUUGUGAUGAUUCUUGGCCUUCGUGGUUUUAAUUAGAUACGUCUUUUUUUGAGCAGCAAAACAAAUGAUUUAGAGCAAUGUGUCAGAGACAUGGCAGAAAGCAAAUCAGAUUGGUGUGGUGAAUGGGAGCUGCUGUUGCUUAUGUUCAUAUGGAAUCUUGCAGUUGAGGAAGUCAAAAGAGGAAAUUAGGGGUGCCUAGGUGGCUCAGUGGGUUAAAGCCUCUGCCUUCAGCUCAGGUCAUGAUUCCAGGGUCCUGGGAUCGAGCCCUGCUGUCGUGCUCUCAGCUCGGCGGGAAGCCUGCUUCUCCCCUCUCUUCCUGCCUGUCUCUCUGCCUACUAGUGAUCUCUAUCUGUCAAAUAAAUAAAUAAAAUCUAAAAAAAAAAAAAAAAAAAAAGAAGAAGAAGAAGAAAAAGAAAUUAAUUAAUUAAUGUAAUUGUACCAUAAGGAAUGAAAUUUUUGCCCCUUAUGUGAUUUGACAACUCUGUGUACCUUGUAACAAGCUUUGGUUUAUUAUGCAUUAAAGUCAAUAUUUAUGUUUACAUUUUGCCCAGUGAAUUAUGUCAAGGAUCAUUGUCAUCUGAGAUAGUCACUAUAAAGCCAAGCUGGAGUUAUUCCAAGCAUUGAAUAAUUCACAGUCCUAUGAAUUGAAAAAUUGAGCUUGUUAAUAUUUACUAGGCUAUAAACAUUUAACCACAUUUUUACAUCAGCGAUCUAACCCCAUUGUUAUGAAAAUAUGAGCAAGUUCUGUUCCUAGAUGUCUUUUUGUUUAAUACACUUUUUUGGUUUUUUGUUUCUCUCUCAACUCUUACAUCCCUAUAGUAGUUACAGCAUCAGCUGCUACCACCACCAGCCACAAAACUGUUUUUUGGUUAGUUUCAUUUCACAGACUUAUCUCCAAGAAAGACAAAAAGAAUGACUUCUUCUGGGGUUACUUAUAUAUCAUCAACUUCUGGGUCUUCAAGAGAGGCAGGCAUUUUAUUUUAUUUUUUUUUUAAAAGAUUUUAUUUAUUUAUUAGACAGAGAGAGAGAGAGAGAUCACAAGUAGGUAGAGCAGCAGGCAGAGAGAGAUGGGGAAGCAGGCUCCUUGCUGAGCAGAGAGCCCGAUACAGGGCUCGAGCCCAGAACCCAGAGAUCAUGACCUGAGCUAAAGGCAAAGGAUCAACCCACUGAGCCACCCACGCAACCCUAUUUUUAAUAGUUCUACAAAACUCGGGGCAUCUGGGUGGCUGUGUCGGUUAAGCGGCUGCCUUCUUCUCAGGACAUGAUCCCAGAGGAUCAAGCCCUGUAUCGGGCUCCCCAAUCAGUGGAGAGCCUGCUUCUCCCUCUCCCUCUGCCUGCUGCUCUGCCUACUUUUACUCUCUGUCCAUCUCUCUAAUAAAUAAAAUCUUUAAAAAUUAGUUCUAAAAAACUCAUUUGAGUUGUUCUGCUGAGAGACUGUUACUAUGGGAUUUCAGCAUACUAUAGCUAUAGUCAGAGAUCUGUUAAUAGAAUUUGUGUAAUAUAAGAUAUAAACUUAUUAGUUUUCCAUCUUCCCAUUAAAAAACAGAUGAGACUUCAAAUAAGCAGGUGAAAAUUUAGUGACUCUUCUAGGCCUUAUUGAAAAAUGUAAUUUAGAAAGCUGAGAGAUCCCAUUGCGAUUAGAAAGAUAAGUGAUAGGAAAGUAUGUCAUGUUACUUUUGGAUGAUACUAGGCAGAAGUUGUUCUUUGGAAUUAAACAGGCCCAUUUGCCAGACUGUAGAAUAAUAAGCUUUAAUGUCUUAGAAGUACUAUAUUUCUUUUUCCUGUAUCCUCUUAAAUUUGGUGACUUCAUUGUACUUAGCAUUAGUAUGUUUCUUUUCUUUUAAAGAAAUCCAGUGGUGUUUAGAUUUCUUUAAAAGGAAAGAGACUUUUACUGUGUUGUCAUUACAACUUUAAAUAAACAUGGGCUAGAUCAAAGAUAAUAAAAUUAUUCUAAUGUUUCCUUCACCUUUGUUUUAUCCAAGUGAGAUUUAAGUAAGAAGUACAUGUUCCUCACUAAAUCGGUUAGGAUUUAUGAUUCUUUGUGGCAACAGGAAGCUCUUUCUAAACUAGGUUAAGCUAAAAAGAGAAUUUGCUUCAUAUAACUAUAAUAAGGAAUAAUACUGGCUUUGGACCGGAGCUCAACCUCUUAGCUAUACUUAUUUUUCUCUUCCCUCUGCUUCUGGAUUGGGUUCCUUCAUGCCUCUGACUGGUGGCAAGGUGGCCAAAGUAGCUGUAUUCCUACUCCAUCUGUGCCAGCAGUAUUUGCAAAUGUUUUAUUGUUUGCCAUUGUCUGAAUCCCCGAAACACUUAAGAUGUUUCAUGUUUAGUCUGAGUUUGGAAUCAUUUGAUUUCCUUCCUAGGAAUGAAGUCCCACCUUCAGUACUGGAAUAGAGUAGGGUUAAAAGUGGGAGAGACAAACAGGAGCUUACUGUAUGUAAUAGAGUUUGAACAUUGGAAGCAGUCACUUAUGUCUUUGGGAGUUUUAUUUCUGAGGUGACCCAAAUCAAGAUCAGUUCUGUUUUUACUUUACUUCUUUCAUUAGAAUAAAGAGAUACCUGCCAUUUUGCUCAUUUCACAUUCUAAAGAGCUGGCAUUAAACAUCACUAAACUACUGUGAACUAGGCUAGAGCUGAGGGAGAUGUUCACAGCAUAGAUGACUUACUGUGUUCUUUCUACUGAAAAACAAAACAAAGGGGACAAAAAAUUCUCUCUGAAAGGCAAGUCCAGGAGGCCAGUGCUCGUGUUUCAUACCAUGAAUUAUAGAUCUCAGCUGUUAAUCAGUCCUCAGUUCUCAAUAAAUUUAAGAACUUUAUAAUAACAAAGUUUUAGUGUUUUGCUGAUUUAAACAGUUUUUAACCUCUAUGAAAUCCUAUCUCUUUAUUUAAUUAUUUAUUUAUUUAUUUUUAAGAUUUGACAGACAGAGAUCACAAGUAGGCAGAGAGGCAGGCAGAGAGAGAGGAGGAAGCAGGCUCCCCACCGAGCAGAGAGCCCGACGCAGGGCUCGAUCCCAGGACUCCGGGAUCACGACCUGAGCAGAAGGCAGAGGCUUUAACACACUGAGCCACCCAGGCGCCCCAUAUCUCUUUAUAUUAAAAAAAGAAUUUAAAAAGCUUUCUAGUCAGAAAUAUUAAUAGCAUUUUAUAAAAGCAAUGAAAAGUAAAUGACAUUUGGGGAACUCACACUUUAUUCCUCAACAAAAAUAAGCCUUAUUCCCCACCCCUACCCCCACAUACCUUUUGCCACUGUCCUACCAUCUUUUAUUUCUUGGGUUAAAGAGUUGACAGAGCUAUACCACAUUAUCUCCUGUUUACAGGUCAAGAGGAUUGGAUCCCUGUGGUAUAGAAUAUGUCAUUUAGUCAAGAUUUUUCUCCUAUAGAAAGUUGAAAACACUAGGUUUUGGAAGACUAUUGAAGAGUCUGGAUUCUUAGACUCCCUAUGUUAUUUUUACAGGCAAAGACAUUUUUCUUUCCUAGCUUCUUAGGUAUUGUUUUGCAACACCUUAAAUAUUUUCUUAUCUGACAUUUUCAUUCUUUCUGUGACUAUAUAUAUUUUUUAUUCACACCUUAGCAACAUGUAUUAGAUUUAAAAUAAUUAACAUUUAAAUAUUUCUGUUGUUUAAUUUUUUGUAGCCUGUUCUUUUUUCCUAGCAUGGAGACUAAACUGGUGAAGAAAAAUUUUGUUGUAUUUUCUACUUCCCAGCAAUUAUUCAUUACACACUUUCUAUAUACUAAGUACAAAUUUAGAGUUAGGAAUGCUCUUUCUGCCUCUGUAUACAUUUCUUUCUCAUACAGUAUGACUGUGUGAUAAGAAAGGCAGAUUGGAGCAGAAAAACACAUGGAGGAAAAAACAAGUAAGAUCUGUUCAGAGUUUAUGUAAAUCAUCUAGAAAAUGAGGAUGGCCUGGGUUAAAGCAAUGACAGAAGAAAGAGAGAUUGACUAAGUUUGAACAACAGCGGAAAAAAGAUGACUCCAGAGAGCUAGUUACAGGACUAGGAUACAGGAUAUGCAGGAGAUAAAGGAAUCAGUGGUAAACCCAAAGUCCCAUUGGGUAUGUGAGAGUUUUUCACUAAGGGCAUUCUGAUGCCAUUCAUGGUAGAAAGAAUUGACUUGGGGACAGAAAUUAACUCUAUUAAAUAAAUAAAUGGGAGAGAAGAGACAAAUCUGUAAGGAAUGGCAGAUAAUUUACAUAGAUACUUCUCAUUGUUGAGGUAGCGCUUAACUCACCAUUCCCCCUUCAGUAUGGGCUGAGCUUAAUUGCUUCCAAAUAGUGGGCAGUGGGAAAGUGGAUGAGGGUCAUUUUACAGUGGAGAAACCUGGCAGACACCCCCUUGACCAGAUGACCAAAGUUAGCAUCAUCAGGGGUGUCAUAUUUAUAUCAUGUAUACCUUUAUUAUGAUGUCUUGAGAAAGGCUCUUCCUGGACACCUGGGUGGCUCAGUUGGUCAGGCUAAGGUCAUGAAUCCAGCAUCAGGCUUCCUGCUCAGCAGGGAGUCUGCCUAUCCCUCUGCCCCUCCCAGCCCUGUUCCUGCCCCCCUACCCCUGCAAAAAUAAAUAAAUAAAAUCUUAAAAAAAAAAAAAAAAGAAUGCCACUUACUCUCUAAAACCUAUGAACCUAUGAGCAAAAUGUCAUGUAAACCUAAAUUGAGGAAUACUCUACCCAGUAGUUGACCCCAGCCUUCCUUAAAACUCUCUAAUGUCAUUAGAGACACAGAGGCUAAGGAGAUAGAAUGACUAAACCCUGAGUGGAAUAAUGUUUGACCAAAUAUCUGAGCACCCUAUAGCCUAGUCAAGUUGAUACAUAGUCUUGUGUCACUGUCCAAAACUAAGAGAGAAUAGGGAGUUAAAGAGGAUAAAGUAUUAAGGAGGAGAGAGUUGUGUGUUAAACAGCAAAAAUAGCAGAGAGCCUCAAGAUGGUAUAGAAAAGAUUAUUUUUAAUGAUAAAAGCCACAUGAAGUAGGAAAUAAGGACCCAUAGACAGACUCUUCAUUUAAAAAGUGAAAGGAAGCGGUGCCUGGGCGGCUCAGUGGGUUGGGGCCUCUGCCUUCGGCUUAGGUCAUGAUCCCAGGUCCUGGGAUUGAGCACCACAUCAGGCUCUCAGCUUAGCAGGGAGCCUGCUUCCCCCCUUCUCUCUGCCUGCCUCUCUGCCUACUUGUGAUCUCUGUCAAGCAAAUAAAUAAAAUCUUAAAAAAAAAAAAAGUGAAAGGAGGAUGCACAGUGACAGACUGGAUAAUAGGGAUGCCUGGGUGGCUCAGGGGGUUAAAUUAAGUCUCUGCCUUCGGCUCAGGUCGUGAUCUCAGGGUCCUGGGAUUGAUCCCCGCAUUGAGCUCUCUGAGCGACAGGAAGCCUGCUUCCUCCUCUCUCUCUCUGCCUGCUUCUCUGCCUACUUGUGAUCUCUGUAAAAAAAAAAAAAAAAAAAAAAAAAUAUAUAUAUAUA
Mustela lutreola (European mink) is the source of this 10377-nucleotide long non-coding RNA. RefSeq lists it as uncharacterized. Lineage: Eukaryota; Metazoa; Chordata; Mammalia; Carnivora; Mustelidae. The transcript is spliced from 2 exons. The record is from RefSeq and is a predicted model, not a curated record.